Molecule: transfer RNA, 73 nt
Filed under: Camelus bactrianus (Bactrian camel)
Lineage: Eukaryota; Metazoa; Chordata; Mammalia; Artiodactyla; Camelidae
Also listed under: 1 other name
Rfam family: tRNA
About the family: Transfer RNA (tRNA) molecules are approximately 80 nucleotides in length. Their secondary structure includes four short double-helical elements and three loops (D, anti-codon, and T loops).
Source: Rfam by way of RNAcentral
GAGGGUAUAGCUCAGUGGUAGAGCGUGUGCUUAGCAUGGAUGAGGUCCUUGGGUUCAAUCCUCAUUACCUCCC